UACGUAGGUGGCAAGCGUUGUCCGGAUUUACUGGGCGUAAAGAGCGCGCAGGCGGUCGUUCAAGUCGAGUGUGAAAGCCCCCGGCUCAACUGGGGAGGGUCACGCGAUACUGAUCGACUGGAAGGCAGGAGAGGGUAGUGGAAUUCCCGGUGUAGUGGUGAAAUGCGUAGAUAUCGGGAGGAACACCAGUGGCGAAGGCGACUACCUGGCCUGUUCUUGACGCUGAGGCGCGAAAGCUAGGGGAGCAAACGGGG
This 254-nucleotide ribosomal RNA is filed under the name uncultured bacterium. RNAcentral's name for it is "partial 16S ribosomal RNA". It matches the Rfam family "Bacterial small subunit ribosomal RNA", at positions 524 to 777 of the family's 1533-position model. The record is from RNAcentral.